AGAUUGAACGCUGGCGGCAUGCCUUACACAUGCAAGUCGAACGGCAGCACGGGGGCAACCCUGGUGGCGAGUGGCGAACGGGUGAGUAAUGCAUCGGAACGUGCCCAGUAGUGGGGGAUAACUAGUCGAAAGAUUAGCUAAUACCGCAUACGACCUACGGGUGAAAGCGGGGGAUUCGCAAGAACCUCGCGCUAUCGGAGCGGCCGAUGUCUGAUUAGCUAGUUGGACGGGGUAAAAGCCCACCAAGGCUUCGAUCAGUAGCUGGUCUGAGAGGACGACCAGCCACACUGGGACUGAGACACGGCCCAGACUCCUACGGGAGGCAGCAGUGGGGUAAUUUUGGACAAGUGGGCGCAAGCCUGAUCCAGCCAUCGCCGCGUGGCGGGAAAGGAACGGCCGUUCGGGUUACGUAACCGUCGUUUGGACGAAGGAACGGAAACGGACGGACGACGGACGAAUA
This 460-nucleotide ribosomal RNA is filed under the name uncultured soil bacterium. Its description in RNAcentral is "bacterial SSU rRNA". It matches the Rfam family "Bacterial small subunit ribosomal RNA", at positions 26 to 488 of the family's 1533-position model. The record is from RNAcentral.